GACGAACGCUGUUGGCGUGCUUAACACAUGCAAGUCGAACGGAAAGGCCCUGCUUUUGUGGGGUGCUCGAGUGGCGAACGGGUGAGUAACACGUGAGUAACCUGCCCUUGACUUUGGGAUAACUUCAGGAAACUGGGGCAAAUACCGGAUAGGAGCUCCUGCUGCAUGGUGGGGGUUGGAAAGUUUCGGCGGUUGGGGAUGGACUCGCGGCUUAUCAGCUUGUUGGUGGGGUAGUGGCUUACCAAGGCUUUGACGGGUAGCCGGCCUGAGAGGGUGACCGGCCACAUUGGGACUGAGAUACGGCCCAGACUCCUACGGGAGGCAGCAGUGGGGAAUAUUGCGCAAUGGGCGGAAGCCUGAUGCAGCAACGCCGCGUGCGGGAUGACGGCCUUCGGGUUGUAAACCGCUUUCGCCUGUGACGAAGCGUGAGUGACGGUAAUGGGUAAAGAAGCACCGGCUAACUACGUGCCAGCAGCCGCGGUGAUACGUAGGGUGCGAGCGUUGUCCGGAUUUAUUGGGCGUAAAGGGCUCGUAGGUGGUUGAUCGCGUCGGAAGUGUAAUCUUGGGACUUAACCCUGAGCGCGCUUUCGAUACGGGUUGACUUGAGGAAGGUAGGGGAGAAUGGAAUUCCUGGUGGAGCGGUGGAAUGCGCAGAUAUCAGGAGGAACACCAGUGGCGAAGGCGGUUCUCUGGGCCUUUCCUGACGCUGAGGAGCGAAAGCGUGGGGAGCGAACAGGCUUAGAUACCCUGGUAGUCCACGCUGUAAACGGUGGGUACUGGGUGUGGGGUCCAUUCCACGGGUUCCGUGCCGUAGCUAACGCUUUAAGUACCCCGCCUGGGGAGUACGGCCGCAAGGCUAAAACUCAAAGGAAUUGACGGGGCCCCGCACAAGCGGCGGAGCAUGCGGAUUAAUUCGAUGCAACGCGUAGAACCUUACCUGGGUUUGACAUGGAUCGGGAGUGCUCAGAGAUGGGUGUGCCUCUUUUGGGGUCGGUUCACAGGUGGUGCAUGGCUGUCGUCAGCUCGUGUCGUGAGAUGUUGGGUUAAGUCCCGCAACGAGCGCAACCCUUGUUCACUGUUGCCAGCACGUUAUGGUGGGGACUCAGUGGAGACCGCCGGGGUCAACUCGGAGGAAGGUGGGGAUGACGUCAAGUCAUCAUGCCCCUCAUGUCCAGGGCUUCACGCAUGCUACAAUGGCUGGUACAGAGAGUGGCGAGCCUGUGAGGGUGAGCGAAUCUCGGAAAGCCGGUCUCAGUUCGGAUUGGGGUCUGCAACUCGACCUCAUGAAGUCGGAGUCGCUAGUAAUCGCAGAUCAGCAACGCUGCGGUGAAUACGUUCCCGGGGCU
RNAcentral lists this ribosomal RNA (1346 nucleotides) under uncultured bacterium. Its description in RNAcentral is "partial 16S ribosomal RNA". It matches the Rfam family "Bacterial small subunit ribosomal RNA", at positions 28 to 1381 of the family's 1533-position model. The record is from RNAcentral.